RNAcentral lists this ribosomal RNA (433 nucleotides) under uncultured bacterium. Its description in RNAcentral is "partial 16S ribosomal RNA". It matches the Rfam family "Bacterial small subunit ribosomal RNA", at positions 29 to 507 of the family's 1533-position model. The record is from RNAcentral.
AACGAACGCUGGCGGCAUGCCUAACACAUGCAAGUCGAACGAGACCUUCGGGUCUAGUGGCGCACGGGUGCGUAACGCGUGGGAACCUGCCCUUAGGUUCGGAAUAACUCCCCGAAAGGGGUGCUAAUACCGGAUAAUGUCUUCGGACCAAAGAUUUAUCGCCUUUGGAUGGGCCCGCGUUGGAUUAGCUAGUUGGUAGGGUAAAAGCCUACCAAGGCGACGAUCCAUAGCUGGUCUGAGAGGAUGAUCAGCCACACUGGGACUGAGACACGGCCCAGACUCCUACGGGAGGCAGCAGUGGGUAAUAUUGGAAAAUGGGCGAAAGCCUGAUGCAGCAAUGCCGCGUAAGUGAUGAAGGCCUUAGAGUUGUAAAGCUCUUUUACCCGGGAUGAUAAUGACAGUACCGGGAGAAUAAGCUCCGGCUAACUACGUG